This 253-nucleotide ribosomal RNA is filed under the name uncultured bacterium. RNAcentral describes it as "partial 16S ribosomal RNA". It matches the Rfam family "Bacterial small subunit ribosomal RNA", at positions 524 to 776 of the family's 1533-position model. The record is from RNAcentral.
UACGUAGGGCGCAAGCGUUGUCCGGAAUUAUUGGGCGUAAAGAGCUCGUAGGCGGUUUGUCGCGUCUGCCGUGAAAGUCCGGGGCUCAACUCCGGAUCUGCGGUGGGUACGGGCAGACUAGAGUGAUGUAGGGGAGACUGGAAUUCCUGGUGUAGCGGUGAAAUGCGCAGAUAUCAGGAGGAACACCGGUGGCGAAGGCGGGUCUCUGGGCCGAUACUGACGCUGAGGAGCGAAAGCAUGGGUAGCGAACAGG